This 443-nucleotide ribosomal RNA is filed under the name uncultured Eubacterium sp. RNAcentral's name for it is "bacterial SSU rRNA". It matches the Rfam family "Bacterial small subunit ribosomal RNA", at positions 355 to 794 of the family's 1533-position model. The record is from RNAcentral. Lineage: Bacteria; Bacillati; Bacillota; Clostridia; Eubacteriales; Eubacteriaceae.
UGAGGAAUAUUGGGUCAAUGGGCGCAGGCCUGAACCAGCCAAGUCGCGUGAGGGAAGACGGUCCUACGGAUUGUAAACCUCUUUUGUCGGGGAGUAACGUGCGGGACGCGUCCCGUAUUGAGAGUACCCGAAGAAAAAGCAUCGGCUAACUACGUGCCAGCAGCCGCGGUAAUACGUAGGUGGCAAGCGUUGUCCGGAAUUACUGGGUGUAAAGGGAGCGCAGGCGGGACUGCAAGUUGGAUGUGAAAUACCGCAGCUUAACUGCGGAGCUGCAUCCAAAACUGUAGUUCUUGAGUGAAGUAGAGGUAGGCGGAAUUCCGAGUGUAGCGGUGAAAUGCGUAGAUAUUCGGAGGAACACCGGUGGCGAAGGCGGCCUACUGGGCUUUUACUGACGCUGAGGCUCGAAAGUGUGGGGAGCAAACAGGAUUAGAUACCCUGGUAGU